Molecule: long non-coding RNA, 1239 nt
Filed under: Struthio camelus australis
Lineage: Eukaryota; Metazoa; Chordata; Aves; Struthioniformes; Struthionidae
Description: lncRNA (ENSSCUG00000008615.1)
Source: RNAcentral
GAGCCUGAGAAGUAAAAGAAGGAGAAGGAGGAGCCGUUUGCCCCGCAGGCGUAAAGGGCAAGGAGCUGCUUAAGGGCUGUUUCCGGAGGAGGAGCUGGAUCAGCUGCGUGCGUGGACAGUGAGGAUGAGGACGACUGGGAUGAACCGUCUGUGUUGCAGAUGCAGAGAAGGAAGAUUUGGAGGAGCUGUUUGUCACGGUGCCUUGGAGGAGGUGGAGGCAAGAAAUGUAAUGCCUUGGAGGAGGAGGAGGAGGAGGGGUCUGGUGCGCUGGCCCGGCUGAUAAAACGGGUGAGUGAAAAAGCGGAGAGUGCAAAUAAAUGGGGAGAAGCCUGGCCUAAAUUCUAAUCCCGUUGCCAACAUCUGGCCGGGAGUAAAAUUGUUCUGAGGAGGCUAAUCUCGUUUAUAGCGCUCCUGAGCUCCUGGCUGAUUAUUUUUAACCUGCGCUGAAGGAGGUUCCCUAGGUAUUGAGUUGCUGGAGUGUGUUGACCCUGGGAACAGAGAGUUGCACAGAUAGUCCUGUGUUGUCUGUGUAGCAAACAUACGUGAUGUAAAUUAAAGUUGGGACAUCAGUCACUGAGUUUCAAGAAGCGAUAACACCCAGAUGGCACUAACAACGUGUUCCUAGCAAGGAUUUUGACAGGAGCCUGGCUUGCUACCUGUUCUGAAGGCUUCAAAGUGGUACAUGUUGCAUAAACCUUGCCCUGUCCCUAAACAAAGGGGGCCAAAGCCAAAGGGGGAUUUGGCUUGACUGGUGUGAGAUUCGCAGGACACAUGCCCACGCGCCGUGUAACAUGUCCCGUUGCUCAGUCCGCCUUGCCCACCGCAGUCCUGCCUUCUCGCGUUACGGAGCUGCAGAAUCGUGUUUAUUCUCUACCCUUCUUCCCAAGUACAUCAGAUGAUCAAGUUCUCCUUAAAUUUUACAAAAUUAGAUAAUCCAACCCUAAGACAUACUUAACCAUGGAUUUCAGACCAAAAAAUGGAAGUUCUGGAAAUCCUUUAUCCCAACAGAAACUACAGCCAGAAGAAUCCUCACAUGAUCAGUUCCAUCCCACCCUUUCCUCCAUCCCCAAAUACGUCAGCUUAGAAAACAAGAUGCACAGAAAAACACCAAUGCAUGGCAGAGUUUGGGUAUGCAGAAAACAGAACAACCCUCAGAUUAUUUCCGUCAACUACUUCCAUGUUCAUAUAAGGUACAAGUUUGCAACUCUCUUCUACUUCAUCUGGAACAAGAUUCAGUAG